UACGUAGGGACCGAGCGUUGUCCGGAAUCAUUGGGCGUAAAGAGCGUGUAGGCGGCUAUUUAAGUCCUGCGUGAAAUCCUGCGGCUCAACCGCAGACGGUCGUGGGAAACUGGAUGGCUAGAGUGCGGGAGAGGAGAGUGGAAUUCCCGGUGUAGCGGUGAAAUGCGUAGAGAUCGGGAGGAAGGCCGGUGGCGAAGGCGGCGCUCUGGAACAUUUCUGACGCUGAGGCUCGAAAGCGUGGGGAGCAAACAGG
This 253-nucleotide ribosomal RNA is filed under the name uncultured bacterium. RNAcentral describes it as "partial 16S ribosomal RNA". It matches the Rfam family "Bacterial small subunit ribosomal RNA", at positions 524 to 776 of the family's 1533-position model. The record is from RNAcentral.